GGUAUCAUAGCUCAAUAGGUUAGAGCCAUCGACUUAUAAUCGGUAGAUUCUGGUUCAAGUCCAGAUGAUACCACCA
This 76-nucleotide transfer RNA is filed under the name Caudoviricetes sp. Its description in RNAcentral is "tRNA-Ile". It matches the Rfam family "tRNA". Rfam says of the family: Transfer RNA (tRNA) molecules are approximately 80 nucleotides in length. Lineage: Duplodnaviria; Heunggongvirae; Uroviricota; Caudoviricetes. The record is from RNAcentral.